ACUUGAAGCAAGAGGUGGGUAACCGCCGCCUCUUCGUCUGGCAGCGAAGAACUCAUUCUCUUUGCCUAUAUGUAGGUGUAAAUGAGACAAGGGAAGCGUGCAGAAAAUAUUCAGUAGAAGCACUUUGAUUAAAUCCCUUCUCUUUUGUUACUGCUAGUGUGUCUUAGCUAGUCAGGAGCUUCUUCACUGGCUGCCAAGCAAUUUUUCGCUCGAUAGAGAAGUGAUAGCUUUCAGACAAACGCUCAUCUAAUCCUCUGAGCACCACAAAAAGGACAAAUCUCUUUUAAGGAGAUAACGCUCUACAGAACUCAACAUCCACUCAAUAUUUGUGUUGCAACUCUCAACAUCCAGUUGGCAACUCAAAAACAUUGUAGUACGGACUCUACUUCCAUUCAGAUCGGGGAUGUUGGUGCAGUCUGUACUAAGAAUCAAAUUCUGAUGUAUGACAAAAGGGUCUGGAGGACCUGUAGCUAGCGGAAAGUCUGGCUGGGUUCGCGGGACCUGACAGCUAACCGAAGUCCAGUUGGGUUUGCAGACCUGACAACUAGCAGGAAGACCUAGUAGGUUGAAGUCAAGUGAUUAUGUAUGGUAAGUAAGGUAAGUCAUCGGAGGAGAAAGAUCUACUAAAGACAAGUCCCAGUUGAGACUUUAGGCAUAGGUCCAAUUUAAGUUUAUUUUGAAAACCUAGACUGAGAUCUCGACUAGAUCCUAGUUUUGGAAAUACAAGAUCUAACUAAUAAAUAUAUAUAACUUGUUCAUGCAUGUAUUUUUUAACUCUAUGUUGUAGAGAUAAACAUAAAUCUUCAAAUUCUAUACGUGUGGCAACUGACAGAGCUUGAUUCUAAAUUUAGAGUCAAAAGAUAUGAGUUUCGGAAGAUUACUGUGCCAAACCAACUGAGGGGAGGCGCCUCAGAGUUCUUCAAAGGCACCUCAGAGAGCAUGGAAGACACCUUCGAGUGGAUAGAUACCGAAGACGACGCUGUUUAUCGCGAUCGAAGUUUAUGGAUUAAUCUUCACAUUGGAGGUGCCUCCUAUGAGAUUGGAGGUGCCCUCAACACUAUUUAAAAGAGCAGUUCAAGCAGCCUUCAUGAAUCAUCUCCUCUAUGAGCUGCAAAGACCAUUUUGCUGUUAUGAAAGCAUUUGACUGCUACUGUGCUACUACUCUGCAACUUCCAAUUGUUACUAGCAAACCGACACCAACUCCUGAGCGCUUCCGAAUCUUCUUUCUGUGAGUUGGUAACAAAGUUAAAUAUUGUUUUUAUUAUUACAUGCAAAAAGGGAGUGUAGACUGUUACACUUCCCUUCCUUCUAUUUUCUGUAUUCGAUUCUCUCUUUUAGCGGUUCUAAAAGAAGUUUUUAGUGAAUUAUCAGUUGAAACGA
Long non-coding RNA from Zingiber officinale, 1380 nucleotides. RefSeq lists it as uncharacterized. The record is from RefSeq and is a predicted model, not a curated record. Lineage: Eukaryota; Viridiplantae; Streptophyta; Magnoliopsida; Zingiberales; Zingiberaceae. The transcript is spliced from 3 exons.